Molecule: ribosomal RNA, 446 nt
Filed under: uncultured bacterium
Lineage: Bacteria
Description: partial 16S ribosomal RNA
Rfam family: Bacterial small subunit ribosomal RNA
Source: RNAcentral
CCUACGGGAGGCAGCAGUCGAGAAUCAUUCACAAUGGGGGAAACCCUGAUGGGGCGACGCCGCGUGGGGGAAUGAAGGUCUUCGGAUUGUAAACCCCUGUCAUGUGGGAGCAAAUUAAAAAGAUAGUACCACAAGAGGAAGAGACGGCUAACUCUGUGCCAGCAGCCGCGGUAAUACAGAGGUCUCAAGCGUUGUUCGGAAUCACUGGGCGUAAAGCGUGCGUAGGCUGUUUCGUAAGUCGUGUGUGAAAGGCACGGGCUCAACCCGCGGACGGCACAUGAUACUGCGAGACUAGAGUAAUGGAGGGGGAACCGGAAUUCUCGGUGUAGCAGUGAAAUGCGUAGAUAUCGAGAGGAACACUCGUGGCGAAGGCGGGUUCCUGGACAUUAACUGACGCUGAGGCACGAAGGCCAGGGGAGCGAAAGGGAUUAGAUACCCGAGUAGUC